AUGAGCAUGGAGGGCCUCUGGGAAAGGAAAGGUGGCGGAGCAGCUGGGAUGGCCACAGGAGGCUGGAUCCUGUCGCAGAGGGAAGAUUACCCAAAAGUACUGUUCCCUUCACUGAUGCAUACAACACAGGGAUGGCAAUCUGCUUAUGAUGAAAAGGGCGUUACAGAAACACCACAGGAAAUAAAUUCAAGAUGGCUGUUUCCAUACCUCCUGAGACAGGCGACUGGCGCAAUCAGCCUUGUUGAAAUUCCUCCUCCCGUGUCUGUGAGCCCCUAGCGUUCAUCGAAUGGAAGGGAGAAAAAAGCCUGUCCUGAAAAUGCAAAUGCGUAUGUGCUCCUCACUGGCCUAGUGGAUACAGAGACAUAUAAAAAGAAUGUAAAUCACCAAGUAGUACUUUGACAGCUGACACCUGUGUCUUUCCCAAGGGCCCUAAUGGUCACUCUUCAGCAGCUCUUUGCUGAUUCAUGAAGACUGCUAAGAGAAAGCGUGUGUGACUUAUCUUUUAUAGAGUGUAAUAAAAAGAGGGAAGCGCCCCGUGUGGCUGAACUG
Molecule: long non-coding RNA, 549 nt
Filed under: Coturnix japonica (Japanese quail)
Lineage: Eukaryota; Metazoa; Chordata; Aves; Galliformes; Phasianidae
Description: lncRNA (ENSCJPG00005017257.1)
Source: RNAcentral